Molecule: long non-coding RNA, 569 nt
Filed under: Populus trichocarpa (black cottonwood)
Lineage: Eukaryota; Viridiplantae; Streptophyta; Magnoliopsida; Malpighiales; Salicaceae
Description: long non-coding RNA (PTRI_LNC004411)
Source: RNAcentral
UUGUUGGAGUCGCCACCUAGUAAUUUAUUGAAGGCUACUAGGAAACCGGAUGUACUGGUCUUAUCAGAGAUUCGCGGGUAAGGGACUGGUUGUGGUUAGGGAAGGUAUUAGCACCCCUAACGCACCCUACCUGAGGUAAGCUGCUUCGCAAAUUUGAUGUGUUUAAAGAAGUUUUAAUAAUUGUUUUUUCAUCGGAUAUUAGAAAUACAACUUACGUAUAAGUUAAUAAUUCUUUACCGUGAUCCAAUCAAAAUAUUAAAUUCUUCUUUAAUCUUUGCAAUUUCAUCAUAAAAAAUAUAUAUAUAAAAAAAUACAAACAAAUACAAACACACACAUUCACUCUUCCUAUAUUUUUGUUUCUUUUCUUUUCUUUUCCUUUCUUUUGUUACAUCCAAAUUCACAACAUACAAAUAAAAAUUCAAACUAAACAAAUAUUACAUUAAUCAAUUUAAAAAUUACAAAAUAACCCCUCAAAAAUCCAUAACAGUGCUGGGAAGCCCUUCCGGAACAGCAUGAACAGUGGUGGCGCGUCUUCCCACGCGCCACCGUCACUGGCGGCGCGUGGGUUC